AGCACGGAGGACGGAGGCCGGGAGGAGCGGUGGCAGCGCCUCGCUGUCGCUCCGGAGGCCGUCGAAGCCCGGGCCAGAGUUGCCGGCUGUCCCCACGAGGCAAGAUGUGUAGCGAAAGUGUCGGGGUUGGAGCUGUGGCACUGAGGCGUGUAAAAAAAAGCAAAUCGGUGGGGCCCUGUCAUCUACCUCCAGCUUCCACCCUGCCGCAGAGAAUCCGUUCCUCUGUUGCAGCAAGUAGCCCACAGCUCUGACCACAAAGGAUGCAGAAAGUAUGACAUAGAGAGCAAAGGUAUGCACCACAGGCCACAUAACAUCUGCCACUCAGGCCACAUUCCUUAUCCUGGCCUCUGGACACUGGGGCAUAAUGGCUUGUUUUUCUAUUGCUCUGUCUCCCUGUCCUCUCCUUACAAGUAAAGUUACUUUGUGUCAAAGCCCAAGGGGAAAAGGAUUGGGGAAGUGAAGAGGAAACAAG
RNAcentral lists this long non-coding RNA (472 nucleotides) under Fukomys damarensis (Damara mole-rat). RNAcentral's name for it is "lncRNA (ENSFDAG00000026313.1)". Lineage: Eukaryota; Metazoa; Chordata; Mammalia; Rodentia; Bathyergidae. The record is from RNAcentral.